AUACGUAGGUGACAAGCGUUAUCCGGAUUUACUGGGCGUAAAGGGCGUGUAGGCGGUCUUGCAAGUCAGAAGUGAAAUUCCUGAGCUCAACUCGGGCGCUGCUUCUGAAACUGCAGGACUUGAGUGCUGGAGGGGAUAGCGGAAUUCCUAGUGGAGCGGUAAAAUGCGCAGAUAUUAGGAAGAACACCGGUGGCGAAGGCGGCUAUCUGGGCAGAAACUGACGCUGAGGCUCGAAAGCGUGGGGAGAAAACAGGAUUAGAUACCCGGGUAGUCCACGCCGUAAACGAUGAAUACUAGGUGUAGGGGGUAUCGACUCCCUCUGUGCCGCAGUUAACACAAUAAGUAUUCCGCCUGGGGAGUACGGCCGCAAGGUUGAAACUCAAAUGAAUUGACGGGG
Molecule: ribosomal RNA, 397 nt
Filed under: uncultured bacterium
Lineage: Bacteria
Description: partial 16S ribosomal RNA
Rfam family: Bacterial small subunit ribosomal RNA
Source: RNAcentral